GACGUAGGGCGCGAGCGUUGUCCGGAUUUAUUGGGCGUAAAGAGCUCGUAGGCGGCUUGUUGCGUCAGCUGUGAAAACCCGCAGCUCAACUGUGGGCUUGCAGCUGAUACUGGAUGGCUUGAGAUUGGGAGAGGGAUGCGGAAUUCCAGGUGUAGCGGUGAAAUGCGUAGACAUCUGGAGGAACACCGGUGGCGAAGGCGGCAUCCCGGACCAACACUGACGCUGAGGAGCGAAAGCCAGGGGAGCAAACGGG
Molecule: ribosomal RNA, 253 nt
Filed under: uncultured bacterium
Lineage: Bacteria
Description: partial 16S ribosomal RNA
Rfam family: Bacterial small subunit ribosomal RNA
Source: RNAcentral